AUAGCAACAGCAGCGUAGCUGAACAUCUUACGGAUGGCCCAGGGCUCCAAAGGCUCGUUUCCUAAGUGAGAGAGAGCCUGGCUGAAGCUGUAUUACCAUUCAUUCUCCAGCCUCCGAAGUCUCAAAGCAUCACUUCCACCAUACUCUAACUGUCAAGACAAACACAAAGGCCCAGAAACUGCCAGACUGUCUUCUGAAGUGGCUAUAAUAUUUACACUCCCAUCAGCAGUGUAGAAGGGGUCUCACUAUGUUGUCUGGAGUGCUGUGGUGGAGUGGAGUGGCUAUUCACAGGAUUCUUGGAAUGGACUGUAAAAGUCUGGAAUCAAGACUUUGUGUUUCCUCUCUAACAUGUAAAGAGCUUAGAAGUUGUCGCUAUUGCCCUUACAACAAAAUGAAGCUGGACAAACUGAAAAUCAAUGACUUUUCUUGGACUCACUAUACAGCUGAGUUUGCAGAGUAAACCACUACCCUGAAAUCUGGAAAGGCAGGUGCACCCACAGAUCCUCAGCUGAGAUCCAAUUACCUGAAAUAGAAGCUGCCAUUAGGAACACUUAAAAGAGCCUGUUCUGCUGGGACACAGAAUCACUUGCUCCAUCUCAUACAUUGAUGAUGAUUAAUUUGUAUGUGUACCUUCCAAAAAAGAUGGUUGUGUUUGAAUGGAGGCCUUCUGGACAGGAAAAUAUGGAGAGUGCGUGCUUUGGAUUCAAGACUGGGAAUGAGGGGACCAGAAACCUAUUCUGUGGCUGUUUCUUGUUAGGACUUUCCUAAGCCUCUGGAAAAGUGCAAAGUACAAUUAACAUUUGAGUCUGUCUGAGUCAUGAAGAAAUGGAGAUUACUGAAAAUAAUUCAUUUUGGUAUCUUCUUACAUCCUGAGAGACUAAUCUUUCCAAGUUCAUCUGAGGCUCCUCUUCUCCAUGACAACCUCAUCCAGGGAUUUCUUCCUGUCCUGGUGUUUUAUGACAUGUGGAAGGGGACUGUAGCAGGUGAUCUCCAAAGUCUCUGGAGACUUACUAAUGUGCAUCCUCAUCUCGCUUGUAAGGAUAAUAGCCUUCCUCCAAACCUCACACACUUUUGGAGGAGAUCACUUUUUUUAAAGUGCAUGGAAAUGUUUUGAAACAGUGAAAUCUAUAAUGAUAGGUUUCAUAAUUCUAACAUCCACACCAUAUGAAUCACAUCCUUCCUGAGAUAAUGAGCACACAAUUGCCUGGAUACCUGAAGGAAUGGAGACAGCGGCAGAAAACACUGCAGAGAGGUGGAAACAUCCGUUAAUAUUUUAAAAUCCCAUUACUGCUACCAACAAUAAUAAUGGAUGCAUAGAAAUAGAUCUGGAUUAGCUGAGCUUGAAACAGUCCAUCUCACACACACACAAAAGAAUUUCAGAUACAGUGAACCCACAUGUUGAAGCUUUCUAGUAUAAUAAAAAUUUCAACUGUUCUGUUGAAUCAUCUGCCUGAUUGGAGGCUACAGAAAAGAUGUCAUCUUAGGAGUGCUUGCUCUGAGUGAGGCUCAUCUUCAAAUCUGAAUGACCACAAGGAGAUUUGAUUAUACAUGUGAACACCUCAGAAGGCACAGCCCACCCAGAAGGCAGACAGGUCAGGCUGCUUUUUCUUCAUUGCUUGGAUUCAAUCCUCCGGGCGGCUCAGGCUCAAACAUAACUUAAGCAUGAUUAAACUUUAGAAGAAGCUGCCAGGAAGACUGUGAAAUCUUCAUGCCCAAGGAUCCCUAAAAUUAGGAGCAACAACCACUUGGCUCAGACGGUUUAUGGAGGCAAAGGUUUGGAUGGGAUUAGAGAUUUCUAAAUGUGAGUUCGUGUCCUCUGCCAGACCACCUUACUUCCACCAUUCCUCAGCAAAUCAAGAAAAACAGGAGAAAAGACAUGCCUUUCCAUAAGUUAAAUCUAUUCUGUUUUAAUUCUAUAUUAUAUCUGCUGUACAACUUCUUUUGUUUGUAACACCAUAUUGUUGCUAGUAACUGGAAAUUAAUUUUCACAUGCCUCAGCUUAGAAAAAUAAAAAGCAGCCCUGCAUC
This 2027-nucleotide long non-coding RNA is filed under the name Homo sapiens (human). RNAcentral's name for it is "long intergenic non-protein coding RNA 635". The record is from RNAcentral. Lineage: Eukaryota; Metazoa; Chordata; Mammalia; Primates; Hominidae.